CUUGCUCCUCCGGAUUAGUGGCGAACGGGUGAGUAAUACGUGAGCAAUGUGCCCUUGACUCUGGGAUAAGCGCUGGAAACGGCGUCUAAUACCGGAUACGACCCUCGGAGGCAUCUCCUGAUGGUGGAAAGAACUUCGGUCAAGGAUCAGCUCACGGCCUAUCAGCUAGUUGGUGAGGUAACGGCUCACCAAGGCGACGACGGGUAGCCGGCCUGAGAGGGUGACCGGCCACACUGGGACUGAGACACGGCCCAGACUCCUACGGGAGGCAGCAGUGGGGAAUAUUGCACAAUGGGCGCAAGCCUGAUGCAGCAACGCCGCGUGAGGGACGAAGGCCUUCGGGUUGUAAACCUCUUUUAGCAGGGAAGAAGCGAAAGUGACGGUACCUGCAGAAAAAGCACCGGCUAACUACGUGCCAGCAGCCGCGGUAAUACGUAGGGUGCAAGCGUUGUCCGGAAUUAUUGGGCGUAAAGAGCUCGUAGGCGGUUUGUCGCGUCUGCUGUGAAAACCCGAGGCUCAACCUCGGGCUUGCAGUGGGUACGGGCANACUAGAGUGCGGUAGGGGAGAUUGGAANUUCCCUGGUGUAGCGGUGGAAUGCUCAGAUAUNCAGGAGGAACCCCGAUGGCCGAAGGGCAGAAUCUCC
This 644-nucleotide ribosomal RNA is filed under the name Agrococcus sp. RNAcentral describes it as "bacterial SSU rRNA". It matches the Rfam family "Bacterial small subunit ribosomal RNA", at positions 79 to 730 of the family's 1533-position model. Lineage: Bacteria; Bacillati; Actinomycetota; Actinomycetes; Micrococcales; Microbacteriaceae. The record is from RNAcentral.